Molecule: long non-coding RNA, 335 nt
Organism: Astyanax mexicanus (Mexican tetra)
Lineage: Eukaryota; Metazoa; Chordata; Actinopteri; Characiformes; Acestrorhamphidae
Exons: 3
Source: RefSeq, a predicted model, not a curated record
GACGGAUCUUCAGUGAUCAGCUGUGAGUGUAUGAAGUAAAACUCUUCAGAAUGGGGGCCGACGUCUCCAGCAGUGCAGAACGACCCUCUGACCCAGAGAGGAAGAGAGCAGCAUCUCCAGCCCCCAGUGGAGUGUCUAUGAAGAGUGACCGGUCCAUAGGGAAUCCUCCUAAUCUCAGCAGUGGAGGAAGAAGCUCUGGGUCUCUGUACAUCACUGCACUAAACUACUGUUCUGUUCUGAGAGUGAAGCUCUUCAGUUCCUGAUCUUUAUUAAAGAUGUGCUGUGUGUUGGAGUUUCACUGUGUUUAAUGUUAACAGAACUGAAACCCAGAGAGG